UAUGUAACAGAUCAUGACUUGGGUAUUACGUUUCCUUGUAUAUUACGGAACGGCCUAAAGUCCUGGUUUGAUAAGAUUGUAAAGUAGAGUUAGGAAACCGAUACCGUAUUGGAUAAGGUUUCUAUCUUGUAAUCCUGCCCCCCAUUCUAUAUAAGGUGGGCAGGAGGCCCUCUAGAGGGCAUGAGACAACCUGAUCGUCAGAUCUAUACUACACCCGGCGGAUUCAAAUCCCCAAACAGGAGUAGGGUAUUACCUCUCAUUGAGAGGGCCUGAACCUGUCUAAAUCCUUUGUCUCUGCAUCCAUCCACUUUAGGUCUCGUACGCUACCCCCUUUUAUUAUUGCCGAAUUCAUGUUUCGACAGUUGGCGCGCCAGGUAGGGGUUGCGUCGAGUUUCCUAUCAACGAGCGCGAUGGAAUCAAUUUCAUGAGUCGCCGACUUCGCUUUCGCUUUGGGAGUUUUCACUUCCUUUCCGUCGACCACUUCUUCAAGCUCCUCUUCUCUGACUUGAUCCAAAUCAGUCAGGGGGAAACUCAAUCUGAUUUUUAUCAUUAUUUAUCAUAUUGAUUUUUAAUCUCAGAUUAAUUUCUUGCUAUUUUUUGUUGUUGUUCGCAUAUAACUACGCGGCACUAUUGAGGCGAUUGAUGCUGGUCAUGGACUCGAGGCGUCUCAGCUUUCCGGUCGAUCGGCCGCGAGUCCACUCCGCCGGCUUGUCCUCGCCACCGCCAUUGCUGAUAGCAACAACGACUUCACCGCCGGCCUACCUCCGUCGCCGCCGACUGGUGUCAUCGCCUAUACGGUUGGUCGGUCACACCACCGUUCAUGGGCGUCCAUGUCUUCACCGACCGGCUGGCCUUCGCCGCCGCCGACUGGUGUUUCCGCCUGCACGGCUGGCCUAUUAUGCCGCCGCUGUUGGGCGUCUACGACUUCACCACCGGCCUGCCUCCGUCGCCGCCGACUGGUGUCCUCGCCUAUACGGUCGGUUGGUCACACUACCGUUGAUGGGCAUCGUCAUCUACACCGCCGGCCUGCCUCCGUCGCCGCCGACUGGUGUCCCCGCCUAUACGGUCGGUUGGUCACACCACCGUUGAUGGGCAUCGUCAUCUACACCGCCGGCCUGCCUCCGUCGCCGCCGAGUGGUGCCUCCGCCUACACAGCUGGCCUAUUAUGCCGCCGCUGUUGGGCGUCUACGACUUCACCGCCGGCCUGCCUCCAUCGCCGCCGAGUGGUGCCUCCGCCUACACGGCUGGCCUAUUAUGCCGCCGCUGUUGGGCGUCUACGACUUCACCGCCGGCCUGCCUCCGUCGCCGCCGAGUGGUGCCUCCGCCUACACGGCUGGCCUAUUAUGCCGCCGCUGUUGGGCGUCUACGACUUCACCGCCGGCCUGCCUCCGUCGCCGCCGAGUGGUGCCUCCGCCUACACGGCUGGCCUAUUAUGCCGCCGUUGUUGGAUGUCUACAUCCUCACCGUUGGCUCACCUUCGCUGCCGUCGACUGGUGUUUCCGCUUACACGGCUGACCUAUUAUGCCGCCAUUAGUGGGCAUCUUCGCUUUCACCGUCGACCGCCUUCGUCGCCGCCGACUGGUGUCUUCAUUGUUAUUGAUGGACGACUUUGUUCCCACAUUGGCCACUUCCGCCAUCACCAAGGGGAAUAUUACAAAGCUAAGUCAUCAUUUAUUUUAUUCUUUAUAUGAUAUUUUUCCUUUUCCUCUGCCUCACUACACCAAUUGGUCUUCCAUUGAGUAGUGAGUCGGGGGCUACAGAUGUUAUAUCAUAUUUUUUAUAAUAUUUAUCUUGAUUGCUUGCGACAUAAUCUGAGUACAAAAGUACCUAUCGAGUUAUGGAGUUCUAUCUUCCUAUGCUUUCCGUUUGGUUUGCCAAUGGAUGGUUGCCUUUGGGCCGAUUCCUAGCACCCGGGGGCUCGUUGGAUGGACCGAGUAACGCAAGGUGCUAAGUAUUAUUCGGAAUAAAUCAAAAGCAUAGAGAUGAGAUAAAUUUAUUUUCUGCUCUUAAUAAUUGCAAAAGUACCCGAGUAGUAAACUCCGAUCCGUGAAACUUUGUUCCAUUAAUGACGAACUCAUGUCACUCAUAUGCAUGUUUGGGAAGUGCUUAGGCCGACUCCCAGUGCUUGGUGGCUAUGACUAGUUGGGCAGAGCGUUUAAACGUAAUGAGUCAACUGCUCGGGGAAAUCAAAAUUGACAAGAGGAGAAAUACAUAUUUAUAAAUAUUUUAAAAUACUUGAUUUUUUCUCGAGUAUUAUAUUUAUAUCAGAUACUACUCAUCCUAUAUGUUUGUUCUGCAGGAUCCAGAUCCAGAUAUGCAUAAAAGGGAUUCAUGGCUUUAAGCUUAUCUCUUACGCUCUAGGAAUGGAUCAGUCAGAACAUCACCACCGGCCGCCUCGUCCGCCGCCGACUGGUGUUUUCGCCUGCACGGUUGGCCUAUUAUGCCGCCGUUGUUGGGCGUCUACGUCUUCACCGACCGGCCGCCUCGUCCGCCGCCGACUGGUGUUUUCGCCUGCACGGCUGGCCUUUAUGCCGCUGUUGUUGGGCGUCUACGUCUUCACCGACCGGCUUGCCUUCGCCGCCGCCGACUGGUGUUUCCGCCUGCACGGCUGGCCUUUAUGCCGCCGUUGUUGGGCGUCUACGUCUUCACCGACCGGCUUGCCUUCGCCGCCACCGACUGGUGUUUCCGCCUGCACGGCUGGCCUUUAUGCCGCCGUUGUUGGGCGUCUACGUCUUCACCGACCGGCCGCCUCGUCCGCCGCCGACUGGUGUUUCCGCCUGCACGGCUGGCCUAUUAUGCCGCCGUUGUUGGGCGUCUACGUCUUCACCGACCGGCCGCCUCGUCCGCCGCCGACUGGUGUUUUCGCCUGCACGGCUGGCCUUUAUGCCGCUGUUGUUGGGCGUCUACGUCUUCACCGACCGGCUUGCCUUUGCCGCCGCCGACUGGUGUUUCCGCCUGCACGGCUGGCCUUUAUGACCGCUGUUGUUGGGCGUCCACGUCUUCACCGACCGGCUUGCCUUCGCCGCCGCCGACUGGUGUUUCCGCCAGCACGGCUGGCCUAUUAUGCCGCCGUUGUUGGGCGUCUACGUCUUCACCGACCGGCCGCCUCGUCCGCCGCCGACUGGUGUUUCCGCCUGCACGGCUGGCCUAUUAUGCCGCCGUUGUUGGGCGUCUACGUCUUCACCGACCGGCUUGCCUUCGCCGCCUCCGACUGGUGUUUCCGCCUGCACGGCUGGCCUAUUAUGCUGCCGUUGGUGGGCGUCUACGUCUUCACCGACCGGCCACCGCAUCCGCCGCUGACUGGUGUCACCGCCUGCACGGCUGGCCUGUUAUAACGCCAACUGAUGCUAUCUUCUUCACGGCUGGCUACAUCGCUGUCACUACUAAUAGGCAUCAGUAUCUUCAACACAAGCUGCCUACGUUUGCCAUGGCUGCCGACUGGUUUCUUCACUUCCAUGGCUACAUGAUUCUACCAGUGUUGAUUAGCCUUAUCUUCUUCACCGCCGGUCAUCUCGUCUGCUGUUGACUAGUGCCCUCGCCUCUACGUCUGGUUUAUACAGCUACCACUACUGAUGGACAUCAUCGUUUUCUGCCGCCGACUCGUGUUAUGCCGCCGUCGACUGGUGCUUUUAUCUUCACAACUGCGUCUUCACUACCAGUUUGCUUCUGUUGCCGCCGACUCGUGUUCACUUCAUCACGGCGAUGCAACUUUGUCAUCAUGGUAGAGCGACUUCAUAUUUAUUAUCUUCGGCACCGGCAAACUCUAUUGCUGCUACUUCGCAAGUUUUACUACUUCACCAACCACGACGUCUUUGUGAACCUCGACAUCUCGGCAUGCAAUGCCAUGUUAUUUUACUACAACAAGUGGCUCUCCAAUAUUCAGGAUUUCUACUUGGACAUCUUCAACACAUACCUUCAAUCAAGUAAUGACUAUUCGACGACAAGAAGCUACAGUUCUCGACUCUAUGUUCAGUUGUUUCCCAACUAAUCAAAGAGUCGGGGGCUACACAAAUACAAGGCUCAAAAUUUGACAAAUUUUAUGUCAAGCUGAAGAAAUCAAUUCAUCAACCAACGAGUCAACUCCAGGAGUCAUUAUCUUCAUCUUUGCUUCGGAACAGACAUUCUACUUCAACAACUUCAAAUAUUUCGGUUUAGACGAGUUGGGCAAUAACAUCAACUCUCCUCCAAUUAUUUGUCUUCACGGUUGGCCUACUACGCAACUGCCGAUAGAGGAUCUCAUCGUUAUCAUCGGCUGCUACAUCGCUAUUGACUGGAUCACCGACAUCGUCAUCUUCAUCAACAUCUUGUCAAGCCUCAUCAACAUAGCAUACUCUGCUGCCGUUGAUGGGAAACUUCGUCAUCAUAGUCGGCUAUCUCUGUUGCCGCUAAUCAUCAUUACCGUCGGAUGCGUUUGUCGCCGCCGAUUAUUUUCUUCAUCUUCAUGAUUGGUGGAUUUCGCCAUCACCGUUGAUGCGCGUCUACGUCUUCAUCGUCGGUUUGCUUUUGUCACCACCGACUGUUCUUUCGUUGUUGUUGGGCGCCUACAUCUUCACUGCUAGCUGACCUGACUGUUGCCGACUGGUUUCUUCGCCUCCAUGGUUAUGCAACUUCAUUACAUUUGAUUGGUGGCAUCUUUACUACCACUGACAUCUUCCGUUACUUCUGAUGAGCAAUUUCGUCUUCAUGUUGGUCAUUUCAUCUCCAUGCCGACUGCGUCAGCUAUUGCCAAUAGACAAUUUUGACUAUGACAGAAGGACAAGCUAUAUGCUCAGGGGCUCAUCAACUCAAGCGUGAGGAUUAUAUCUCCAAUUUGGACUUGUUCCGGAUACAUUCCACAUGGAUUCAUAGUCAUGAGUCUAUUUUCUAUGCUCAAAGGCUGGACCAAUUAUUAUUCCCCGUAAGGGCUAUCAACCGAAUACUUGCGCCAGUCGGGAUUCAAUUAUUAUAUUUAUUUUGGAGUAUCCCAUAAGGGAUAAUCAUUCAGAUCAGAAGCUAUUCAUAUGAGCUACACUUGGUCUAUAUUACCCGGAAGAUUUAUUACUUGGGAGCAUGUUACAUGCGUCAUCCUUUAAAGGGUGUCGAAGGCAUAUUUUUUGGCCUAGGCCUAAUAUGUCUGCAGCCCAUAUUUUCAGGUGUGGCCUGUCACGUUCUUUUAGGGACUUAGGCACUUUUUGCUUAGGCCAAAGUGCGCGUGAUCAAGUGCCCAAUACCUUAAAAUCCUUUUAUACCGCAGUUACUCAACUUUUUAGGAGUUGGUACAAUGCAUCUUAAAAGGUGUCAAACAGUAAAGCUUUAUAUAGCUGUCCCGCUGACUUUUUUAUAUAAGUCAAGGUGCUGUUUGGGUUUUUAAGCAAUUGAUUGGAUACAAUAUCAUUGCUUUUUGCCACGUAAGUGUGUAUUUUUAUUGACCAAUAUUAUGGCUUAGGCUGAUUAUAUAUUAUGGUCAUUUUCCAGGCGGUUGGUAAAUCCUUUAUGAGUUUAUUUACUCGGAUUUUACACCACAUAUGCCAUAUAUUUCCGGGUGUGGUGAAACCAUGUGUCUUUUAGGGACUUAAGCACAUCUGUUAAAGCAGUGUGCGCAUGGCGUAUGCCCAAUACUUUGGAAAUUUCUUUAUUCACAGCAUUCAAGCUUCUUUAUAGUUGUUUUGCUAUGUGAACUUUCAAAAAUGUUGUCAACUUUAGGUUGUACGCAUUAUAUUUUGCCAAGCAGUCGGUAUAUCACUUGGAUCAUAUUAUUCGGGGAUUCACACCGCAUAUGCUAUAUGUUGAUAUCAAGUCACUUGGUUGAUUACAAUUAUCAAAACCACUCGGUUGGUUAGAUUAUUUAUUCCUUGACUAUAUGUUUGGUUGGUUCAAUUAACCACAUAGUCGGGGGCUACACCUAUUAGGUGCAUCUAUUCGAUGCACCUGACUUUAUUUUUCAGCCCUCCACAGUCUUCAAAUUUGGUAAAAGUACCCGGGAGACCAUGGCGAAGAUGAUUGAAGCACUCGGCUUUGGAGUAAUCUAGUUCGAGAGAAGAUUAUAUUUUCGACUGUGAAGGUCUCAGGGGCUACUGUGGAGAUUAUGGGUACCCCAUACCCACACGGCAUGGUUAUCCGACUAGUUAUAGGGGAUAACUUAUAUAUAUGAAAUAUGUAACAGAUCAUGACUUGGGUAUUACGUUUCCUUGUAUAUUACGGAACGGCCUAAAGUCCUGGUUUGAUAAGAUUGUAAAGUAGAGUUAGGAAACCGAUACCGUAUUGGAUAAGGUUUCUAUCUUGUAAUCCUGCCCCCCAUUCUAUAUAAGGUGGGCAGGAGGCCCUCUAGAGGGCAUGAGACAACCUGAUCGUCAGAUCUAUACUACACCCGGCGGAUUCAAAUCCCCAAA
Molecule: long non-coding RNA, 6368 nt
Filed under: Oryza sativa (Asian cultivated rice)
Lineage: Eukaryota; Viridiplantae; Streptophyta; Magnoliopsida; Poales; Poaceae
Description: long non-coding RNA (OSAT_LNC001396)
Source: RNAcentral